This 451-nucleotide ribosomal RNA is filed under the name uncultured bacterium. RNAcentral describes it as "partial 16S ribosomal RNA". It matches the Rfam family "Bacterial small subunit ribosomal RNA", at positions 354 to 796 of the family's 1533-position model. The record is from RNAcentral.
GUGGGGAAUAUUGGACAAUGGGGGGAACCCUGAUCCAGCCAUGCCGCGUGUGUGAAGAAGGCCUUUUGGUUGUAAAGCACUUUAAGCGAGGAGGAGGCUACCGAGAUUAAUACUCUUGGAUAGUGGACGUUACUCGCAGAAUAAGCACCGGCUAACUCUGUGCCAGCAGCCGCGGUAAUACAGAGGGUGCAAGCGUUAAUCGGAUUUACUGGGCGUAAAGCGCGCGUAGGUGGCCAAUUAAGUCAAAUGUGAAAUCCCCGAGCUUAACUUGGGAAUUGCAUUCGAUACUGGUUGGCUAGAGUAUGGGAGAGGAUGGUAGAAUUCCAGGUGUAGCGGUGAAAUGCGUAGAGAUCUGGAGGAAUACCGAUGGCGAAGGCAGCCAUCUGGCCUAAUACUGACACUGAGGUGCGAAAGCAUGGGGAGCAAACAGGAUUAGAUAUCCUUGUAGUCC